AUGCAGAGGAGGUGCGAGACGAGCAGGAUGGAGAGGAUGCAGCAGCGGCCACUUGACGACGAGGCAGGCGACAGCAGCUUGGCACAGCGCGAAGCAGAGGCACGGCAGCGGCAGGGACGAACACGCCCAGGCGAGGGCGCUCAUCCAAGGCAGCUAUGGCAGAGGGGCGAUGCAGCUCCUGAGAAGGAAGGGGACGCCGGUGUAUGGCGGGGAAACGGGCGGAUCUGGGCGGCGGGAGUCCAGCUCCGACGAUGGUGGCGCCGGUUGGUGCUCCUGGGUGUGCUGUUGCCAGGUGUGGAGGACAUGGCUUGCUCCUUCCGGUUCCUGUGA
RNAcentral lists this ribosomal RNA (330 nucleotides) under Triticum aestivum (bread wheat). RNAcentral's name for it is "partial small subunit ribosomal RNA". Lineage: Eukaryota; Viridiplantae; Streptophyta; Magnoliopsida; Poales; Poaceae. The record is from RNAcentral.